RNAcentral lists this ribosomal RNA (253 nucleotides) under uncultured bacterium. RNAcentral describes it as "partial 16S ribosomal RNA". It matches the Rfam family "Bacterial small subunit ribosomal RNA", at positions 524 to 776 of the family's 1533-position model. The record is from RNAcentral.
UACGUAGGGUGCAAGCGUUAUCCGGAAUUAUUGGGCGUAAAGAGCUCGUAGGCGGUUUGUCGCGUCUGCUGUGAAAACUGGGGGCUCAACCCCCAGCCUGCAGUGGGUACGGGCAGACUAGAGUGCGGUAGGGGAGAUUGGAAUUCCUGGUGUAGCGGUGGAAUGCGCAGAUAUCGGGAGGAACACCGGUGGCGAAGGCGGUUCUCUGGGCCUUACCUGACGCUGAGGAGCGAAAGCGUGGGGAGCGAACAGG